RNAcentral lists this ribosomal RNA (887 nucleotides) under Microdochium insulare. RNAcentral describes it as "partial large subunit ribosomal RNA". It matches the Rfam family "Eukaryotic large subunit ribosomal RNA", at positions 47 to 961 of the family's 3401-position model. The record is from RNAcentral. Lineage: Eukaryota; Fungi; Ascomycota; Sordariomycetes; Xylariales; Microdochiaceae.
UAAGCGGAGGAAAAGAAACCAACAGGGAUUGCCCCAGUAACGGCGAGUGAAGCGGCAACAGCUCAAAUUUGAAAUCUGGCUUUCGGGCCCGAGUUGUAAUUUGUAGAGGAUGCUUUUGGUUAGGUACCUUCCGAGUUCCUUGGAACAGGACGCCUUAGAGGGUGAGAGCCCCGUACGGUUGGAUGCCGAGCCUCUGUAAAGCUCCUUCGACGAGUCGAGUAGUUUGGGAAUGCUGCUCUAAAUGGGAGGUAAAUUUCUUCUAAAGCUAAAUACCGGCCAGAGACCGAUAGCGCACAAGUAGAGUGAUCGAAAGAUGAAAAGCACUUUGAAAAGAGGGUUAAAUAGUACGUGAAAUUGUUGAAAGGGAAGGGCUUGUGACCAGACCUUUGCCUUGCGGAUCAUCCGGUGUUCUCACCGGUGCACUUCGCUUGGUUGAGGCCAGCAUCAGUUUCGGCGGCGGGAUAAAGACUUCAGGAACGUGACUCCCCCGGGAGUGUUAUAGCCUGCUGUGUAAUACCGCCGCCGGGACUGAGGACCGCGCUUCGGCUAGGAUGCUGGCAUAAUGGUCAUCAGCCACCCGUCUUGAAACACGGACCAAGGAGUCGAACAUUUAUGCGAGUUUUUGGGUGUUAAACCCUCAAGCGUAAUGAAAGUGAACGGAGGUGAGAGCCCUUACGGGUGCAUCAUCGACCGAUCCUGAUGUCUUCGGAUGGAUUUGAGUAAGAGCAUAACUGUUCGGACCCGAAAGAUGGUGAACUAUGCGUGGAUAGGGUGAAGCCAGAGGAAACUCUGGUGGAGGCUCGCAGCGGUUCUGACGUGCAAAUCGAUCGUCAAAUCUGCGCAUGGGGGCGAAAGACUAAUCGAACCAUCUAGUAGCUGGUUACCGC